GACGAACGCUGGCGGCGUGCUUAACACAUGCUUUUCGAACGGAAAGGCCCUGCUUUUGUGGGGUGCUCGAGUGGCGAACGGGUGAGUAACACGUGAGUAACCUGCCCUUGACUUUGGGAUAACUUCAGGAAACUGGGGCUAAUACCGGAUAGGAGCUCCUGCUGCAUGGUGGGGGUUGGAAAGUUUCGGCGGUUGGGGAUGGACUCGCGGCUUAUCAGCUUGUUGGUGGGGUAGUGGCUUACCGAGGCUUUGACGGGUAGCCGGCCUGAGAGGGUGACCGGCCACAUUGGGACUGAGAUACGGCCCAGACUCCUACGGGAGGCAGCAGUGGGGAAUAUUGCACAAUGGGCGGAAGCCUGAUGCAGCAACGCCGCGUGCGGGAUGACGGCCUUCGGGUUGUAAACCGCUUUCGCCUGUGACGAAGCGUGAGUGACGGUAAUGGGUAAAGAAGCACCGGCUAACUACGUGCCAGCAGCCGCGGUGAUACGUAGGGUGCGAGCGUUGUCCGGAUUUAUUGGGCGUAAAGGGCUCGUAGGUGGUUGAUCGCGUCGGAAGUGUAAUCUUGGGGCUUAACCCUGAGCGUGCUUUCGAUACGGGUUGACUUGAGGAAGGUAGGGGAGAAUGGAAUUCCUGGUGGAGCGGUGGAAUGCGCAGAUAUCAGGGGGAACACCAGUGGCGAAGGCGGUUCUCUGGGCCUUUCCUGACGCUGAGGAGCGAAAGCGUGGGGAGCGAACAGGCUUAGAUACCCUGGUAGUCCACGCUGUAAACGGUGGGUACUAGGUGUGGGGUCCAUUCCACGGGUUCCGUGCCGUAGCUAACGCUUUAAGUACCCCGCCUGGGGAGUACGGCCGCAAGGCUAAAACUCAAAGGAAUUGACGGGGCCCCGCACAAGCGGCGGAGCAUGCGGAUUAAUUCGAUGCAACGCGUAGAACCUUACCUGGGUUUGACAUGGAUCGGGAGUGCUCAGAGAUGGGUGUGCCUCUUUUGGGGUCGGUUCACAGGUGGUGCAUGGCUGUCGUCAGCUCGUGUCGUGAGAUGUUGGGUUAAGUCCCGCAACGAGCGCAACCCUUGUUCACUGUUGCCAGCACGUUAUGGUGGGGACUCAAUGGAGACCGCCGGGGUCAACUCGGAGGAAGGUGGGGAUGACGUCAAGUCAUCAUGCCCCUUAUGUCCAGGGCUUCACGCAUGCUACAAUGGCUGGUACAGAGAGUGGCGAGCCUGUGAGGGUGAGCGAAUCUCGGAAAGCCGGUCUCAGUUCGGAUUGGGGUCUGCAACUCGACCUCAUGAAGUCGGAGUCGCUAGUAAUCGCAGAUCAGCAACGCUGCGGUGAAUAAGUUCCCGGGGCU
Molecule: ribosomal RNA, 1346 nt
Filed under: uncultured bacterium
Lineage: Bacteria
Description: partial 16S ribosomal RNA
Rfam family: Bacterial small subunit ribosomal RNA
Source: RNAcentral